AGCGUAGGCGGCAAGGCAAGUCUGAUGUGAAAACCCGGGGCUCAACCCCGGGACUGCAUUGGAAACUGCUUAGCUAGAGUGUCGGAGAGGUAAGUGGAAUUCCUAGUGUAGCGGUGAAAUGCGUAGAUAUUAGGAGGAACACCAGUGGCGAAGGCGACUUACUGGACGAUAACUGACGCUGAGGCUCGAAAGCGUGGGGAGCAAACA
This 207-nucleotide ribosomal RNA is filed under the name uncultured Lachnospiraceae bacterium. RNAcentral describes it as "partial 16S ribosomal RNA". It matches the Rfam family "Bacterial small subunit ribosomal RNA", at positions 568 to 774 of the family's 1533-position model. Lineage: Bacteria; Bacillati; Bacillota; Clostridia; Lachnospirales; Lachnospiraceae. The record is from RNAcentral.